AUGGCCACGAGCGCGGCGACGCCGGCGCGCGCGCUCCCGGCCGCCGAGUCCUCCUCUGCCACGGGCGCGAACGCGGGGCCCGCCGAGGCGAGCGGGGACAGCGAUGGGGCCAUGAUGGGCGACAGCUCGGGCGCCAUGGUGGGCGCCGGCUCCGGUGCCAUCGUGGGCGACGGAGUCGGGGCGAAGAUCGGUGCCGGUGCAGGUGACAUGGGCGCCGGAGCCGGUGACACGGGCGCCGGUGCGGGGGGCAUUGUUGGUGGGGCGAUGGGCGACGCCACGGGAGCCAUGAGCAGGGGUGACGGAGCCAUUGCGGGAGGCGCGGUGGCCGGUGGUGUGGCCAUGGGUGCGGCCACUGGGGCCGGAAGCGGCGCGGCGACGGUGGGUGGCAUCGCCGGCGGGGCUGCGGUCACUGCGAGAGGGGGUGCGGAAACUGGUGGCGAGGAGGUGGCAGUGAAUGGCGGAGAGGCAACAGUGGACGCCGCAGGCGACGUGGCGGUGAGCGGUGCAGCGGCGAAGCUCUUUGUCGGAGCUGACGCGGCAGCAAGCUGCGGCGAGGCGGCCACUGUCGGCGGAGCUGCCGCGGCAGCCUGCGGCGCCGAGGCAGCGACGGUCGGCGGCGCGGCAGACACCUGUGGCGCCGAGGCAGCGACGGUCGUCGGCGGUGCUGCAGACACCUGCGACGGCGAGGCGGCCGAGAACGUCGGCGGUGCUGCAGACACCUGCGAUGGCGAGGCGGCCGAGGCCUGCGGCGGUGAUUUGACCGUGGUCGGCGCCGCGGCGAAUGUCUGCGGCGGGAAGGCGCCGACCGGAGCAGCCUUGGACGCGGACGGCGACGAGGCCGGCGACUGCGCGGCGCAGGAGACGAGGAGGAGCGACAGGAGGAGAGGGACGAGCGCCAUUGCUGGUUGCUGUUUAGCUCCCUCUCUCUUCUUCCCAACCAGUACAGUGCUCUAG
RNAcentral lists this ribosomal RNA (954 nucleotides) under Triticum aestivum (bread wheat). RNAcentral's name for it is "partial small subunit ribosomal RNA". Lineage: Eukaryota; Viridiplantae; Streptophyta; Magnoliopsida; Poales; Poaceae. The record is from RNAcentral.